AGUGAACGCUGGCGGUAGGCCUAACACAUGCAAGUCGAACGGCAGCACAGUAAGAGCUUGCUCUUACGGGUGGCGAGUGGCGGACGGGUGAGGAAUACAUCGGAAUCUACUUUUUCGUGGGGGUUAACGUAGGGAAACUUACGCUAAUACCGCAUACGACCUACGGUUGAAAGCAGUGGAUCUUCGGACCUUGCGCGAUUGAUUGAGCCGAUGUCGGAUUAGCUAGUUGGCGGGGUAAAGGCCCACCAAGGCGACGAUCCGUAGCUGGUCUGAGCGGAUGUUCGGCACCACUGGAACUGGAAAACGGUCCAACCUCCUACGGGGGGCAGCAGUGGGGAAUAUUGGACAAUGGGGGCAAGCCUUAUCCAGGCCUACCGGGGAGGUGAAAAAGGCCUUGGGGUUGUAAAAUCCGUUUGUUGGGAAAGAAAAGCAGCAGGUUAAUACCCCGCUGUUCUGACGGUACCCAAAGAAUAAGCACCGGCUAACUUCGUG
Molecule: ribosomal RNA, 492 nt
Filed under: uncultured bacterium
Lineage: Bacteria
Description: partial 16S ribosomal RNA
Rfam family: Bacterial small subunit ribosomal RNA
Source: RNAcentral